This 54-nucleotide transfer RNA is filed under the name Aneides flavipunctatus (black salamander). Its description in RNAcentral is "partial tRNA-His". It matches the Rfam family "tRNA", at positions 1 to 56 of the family's 71-position model. From Rfam's summary of the family: Transfer RNA (tRNA) molecules are approximately 80 nucleotides in length. Their secondary structure includes four short double-helical elements and three loops (D, anti-codon, and T loops). Further hydrogen bonds mediate the characteristic L-shaped molecular structure. tRNAs have two regions of fundamental functional importance: the anti-codon, which is responsible for specific mRNA codon recognition, and the 3' end, to which the tRNAs corresponding amino acid is attached (by aminoacyl-tRNA synthetases). tRNAs cope with the degeneracy of the genetic code in two manners: having more than one tRNA (with a specific anti-codon) for a particular amino acid; and 'wobble' base-pairing, i.e. permitting non-standard base-pairing at the 3rd anti-codon position. The record is from RNAcentral. Lineage: Eukaryota; Metazoa; Chordata; Amphibia; Caudata; Plethodontidae.
GUUUAUAUAAUUUAAGUAAAAUGUUAGACUGUGACUCUAACUAUAAGAGUUAAA